UACAGAGGUCUCAAGCGUUGUUCGGAUUCAUUGGGCGUAAAGGGUGCGUAGGCGGCGCGGUAAGUCGGGUGUGAAAUCUUGGAGCUUAACUCCGAAACUGCAUUCGAUACUGCCGUGCUUGAGGACUGGAGAGGAGACUGGAAUUUACGGUGUAGCGGUGAAAUGCGUAGAUAUGGGGAGGAACACCGGUGGCGAAGGCGGCCAUCUGGACGGAUACUGACGCUGAGACGCGAAAGCGUGGGGAGCAAACAGG
This 253-nucleotide ribosomal RNA is filed under the name uncultured bacterium. Its description in RNAcentral is "partial 16S ribosomal RNA". It matches the Rfam family "Bacterial small subunit ribosomal RNA", at positions 524 to 776 of the family's 1533-position model. The record is from RNAcentral.